AGGGAUAUAGCUCAGUAGGUAAAGUGAUUGCCUUGCAUGCACAAGGCCCUGGGUUCAAUCCCCAGCAUUACCA
This is a non-coding RNA of Ictidomys tridecemlineatus (thirteen-lined ground squirrel), 73 nucleotides long. The record is from Rfam. Lineage: Eukaryota; Metazoa; Chordata; Mammalia; Rodentia; Sciuridae.